Long non-coding RNA from Mauremys reevesii (Reeves's turtle), 754 nucleotides. RefSeq lists it as uncharacterized. The transcript is spliced from 4 exons. The record is from RefSeq and is a predicted model, not a curated record. NCBI's taxonomy places the organism in Eukaryota, Metazoa, Chordata, Testudines, Geoemydidae.
UGUGCCCUGUGUGGGUUGGGAGAAGUUGAGCCACAGGAGCAGAAAGCAGGCUGUUUUUCCUUGAUUCUGAAGCAUUUUGCAGGAGACAGAGUUUCCACAUUUGAGGUCACAAGGCAUCACACCACAGAACUGUCACUGGUGCAGGACUGAAUGCUGUUAUCACUGGGAGUUAGGUAAUUUUGAGAAGAAAUCUCCACACUUGGGAGUGGAUGAAGGAAACAUGAUUGAGGACAGUUCUAUUAUAGCACUAAACAUGAGGACUGUAUCAAUCAGGCCAGUAAAAUUAUGCGAACUUGACUGCACCAACUUCAAGGCCCAUACCUACAUAGUACUCUGUCAGCUCAUUUUAAAACAGAAGAGGUAUUGGGCAUGACAUUUUCAACAACAAAUAUAUGUGGCUGUGCAUUUUCUUGUCAACAGGGGAUUGGCCAAAUGUGAAUUAGAGCAUAAAUGUCAAUUCUGCAAAGAUGGACUUUUCAGAAGCAGAUUUUAUGCCUUCCUAUUAAGCAUCCACCACUGGUAGAUGACAGACAGGAUACUUAGCUACCUAAAUCACUUAUAUUCCUAAAAGUUAACUUAGAAAAUAAUUGGUGUGCUGAAAGAAAACAAUGCUUUUAGAUGGCAGAUACUCAGUGACCGAAUAGUUUGUUUUCAUUCAAAUUUUUCUUCUGUACAAGAAAAUCUACCUGUAUAGAUUGAUAUAUCAUUAUGGUUACUUUUAUAAGCUCGUUUACAUUUCAUCAUCAGAUUCAGG